AUGCAAUCUUAUGAUGAAAAACUUAAUUUGGAAGUUUCUAUACCUAGAAAACUUAAUGAUGAGUGGGAACCUACUAUAAAGAUUAGAAUUAAGGAUUAUGAGUGUUUUGCUUUGUGUGAAUUAGGUGCUAGUGUUUCCACGAUUCCGAAAACUUUAUGUGAUAUUCUAGGUUUCCAUGAUCUCGAUGAUUGCUCUUUAAAUUUGCACCUUGCGGAUUCCACCAUUAAAAAGCCUAUGGGAAGGAUCAAUGAUGUUCUUAUUGUUGCAAAUAGAAAUUUGGUGCCCGUAGACUUUAUCGUUCUUGAUAUAGAUUGCAAUCUUUCUUGCCCUAUUAUUCUUGGUAGACCUUUCCUUAGAACGAUUGGUGCGAUUAUUGAUAUGAAGGAAGGGAACAUUAGAUUCAAAUUUCCACUAAAGAAAGGCAUGGAGCACUUUCCAAGAAAUAAAGUCAAAUUACCUUAUGAAUCUAUCAUGCGUGCAACUUAUGAAUUUAGUGCCAAAGAUGGCACUCGUUAG
RNAcentral lists this ribosomal RNA (516 nucleotides) under Triticum aestivum (bread wheat). Its description in RNAcentral is "partial small subunit ribosomal RNA". The record is from RNAcentral. Lineage: Eukaryota; Viridiplantae; Streptophyta; Magnoliopsida; Poales; Poaceae.